GGCGGUGUAGCUCAGGUGGUAGAGCAGUCGGCUCAUAUCCGAUAUGUCGGGGGUUCAAGCCCCUCCACCGCUA
RNAcentral lists this transfer RNA (73 nucleotides) under Candidatus Aminicenantota bacterium. Its description in RNAcentral is "Candidatus Aminicenantes bacterium tRNA-Met". It matches the Rfam family "tRNA". Rfam says of the family: Transfer RNA (tRNA) molecules are approximately 80 nucleotides in length. Lineage: Bacteria; Candidatus Aminicenantota. The record is from RNAcentral. RNAcentral also lists the same sequence under 1 other name.